ACUACGGUAUUGUGUCGUAGGCUGUGAACGACGUGCCAGAUCUCUGCUAUGUUGGAUAUUUGUAUAUCAGCAUUGAUAUUUUUAUUAGGUCUAUUUAUUGUUCAGUUGGUUAGAUUUGUUUCACUUUGAACACUGAAGCCUACCGGUACAGCUGUACUGCCGCCCUACGUACGAUACGGAGAAAAUUCGAAAGUGAAAGUAGAAAUUGUGUACAAGUUAACAAUAACCAUCUCGAAGUUGAAGUUAUACACGCAAUGUGAGCGAUGUUUUCCCUGAUUCUAACAGUUCAUCUUAAUUGGUUUCAUCAUUAUCGAGAAAAAAACCCGAUUUGAUAUUUAUUUUUAUUGUAUUUUAAACAGCUGGAACUCGGUAUCACAUCUGACUCGCACUUCUGAAAUGGAUCAAAUCGGACUUUGUCGUCGAGACUCGGAAGAAUCCAGCUGCCUAAAUUAUAAUGCCAGUGGAACUCAAAACAGAAAAGAUACUUGUAUGCAAGACAUGGAGAAAAGAGCAGACUACAGCCUCUAUAUACCAUUCCUUGGUGCCUCCUUGAAUUGAUGUUUUUCAGGAUAACCAUGGAGGAAUAAAGGUUAACUCAGUAUAAAGUCUUGCUGACAUGAACAUGCUAAUCACAAGAAAGUGAAUAUAUUUCAUCACCUUAAGCAAUCUUCAAAAUACCAGAUUGGAAAAAGAAAGAAGAUUUGUAGCAUUGUAUUGAAUAUGCCUGAUUAAAAGUAUUAAUGGAUGAA
This is a long non-coding RNA of Saccostrea cuccullata (small rock oyster), 749 nucleotides long. RefSeq lists it as uncharacterized. The record is from RefSeq and is a predicted model, not a curated record. Lineage: Eukaryota; Metazoa; Mollusca; Bivalvia; Ostreida; Ostreidae. The transcript has 4 exons.